UCGUUCGUUCGUUCGUUCGUUCGUUCGUUCGUCCGUCCAUUCGUUCGUUCGGUCUUAAGCGAACUGCAGCACGUGUCUUAUCGUCGAACACUUCUAAUCGAUUGGACUAAGUACUUAUACGAAGAAAUUUUCGAGUUUCCCAAAGAAUCACUAUGAAUUUCCGACUGCUUGACGUUAACCAUUAUCAAAGUUGGAUAACAUAACUUAGUUCGUUGAAAAAAAAAAAAAAGAAAAAAAAAAACAAAAAUAAGGCGAGGCAGAUGGAUGGUUGGAUCGUUAUUUGCAAGAUGGUGUCGGCCAUAUUGGUCACGUGACAUCGUGUACAUGGGAUGCGUAAUAGAAAGAAAGAAAGAAAGAGAGAAAGAAAAAAAAAAACAACACGCAAGUACGUGCGUACACACGCAUACGUACGCGACACGGCGACGUACGUACACGUAAAAAGAAAGAAAGACAAAAAACUCGUUACGUCCUCUUGUUCCGUGCUUGCAUGUGGGUGGUUACGUGAGUGAGUGCGUGCGUGCGUGCGUGCGUGCGGCGUGCGUGCGUGCGUGAGUACGUGCGUGCAUGUGGCGCGUGAAUGGGAACGCGUGAGUUCGAGGAAGAAAACAAACGAAUCGAUCUUUCCUAAGCGUUUUUGUCGAACGCGAUUGGUAAAAGUAUUUGGUAGGAUCGUCGACGCGACAUUUCAAAGUAUACAGCAUGUAUGUAUAUAUACGUAUGUAGAAAACGUGCCUUGUAAACUACUGUUAUUUGAAGAAAAGGAACGAAUUUCUAACGUUCAAUUUAUAUACGUAGGGAGGCAUGUAUAUACAGGGUGUCCCGUCCUCCGUACCAUUUGAUAUUUCGCAGACAAUUAUAUUCGUAAUAAAUGGUAUUAUAAAUUGUUUCAAGAAAUUCGUUUCAAAUAAUUAACUUAUCCUGUAUUGGGAGUGUGAUUGCGGGUGGAAGAGGAGAACGAAUCUUCUCUAGGUGAACGUGCCUCGAUUAAUAAUAAUUCAAGAUAAUUUCAAGCUGACCUUUUCCUAUAUUUAUUUAAGCUUGUUAGCUCAUCAUUAUUAUUAUUGUUAUUAUUAUUGCUAUUAUUAUUAUUAUUAUUAUUAUUAUUAUUAUUUCGAGGCAUGAUCCAUUGACACCAUAACACCACUUUGGUUUUUUACAGUUUGAUAGUACAAAGCUCCGUAUAAGAAGUAAAAACAAAAUUAAAAAAGAAAGACAAAGGUCACCUUGAGAGCACGUUCAACGAAGAGAAAAUAUGUGACUACCGUUUCCUCCUCUAUCCUCCAUCACCCUCCUUACGGAAACGAGUCGUAUUAUUUGAAAAAAAAUUUUCCAAACGAACUUGCAAUUUGGGAAAUAAUUGCGUGAGAAAUUUCAAAUGGGACACCCUGUACACACACACACACACACAUAUUUCGCGAGCAACGUUAACUACGUUUUGGCACGUGACAGGAAACUUAAAAUGCUUUGAUUACGUUCAAGGAACGUUAACGAGAAUUCUACUUUAUUUUUUCUUUUUUUUCUCUUUUUUUUUCUUUCUGUUUCUUUUUCUUUUCCUUUUUCUAUCGGAAAUACUACUUUUCCUGUGUUCAAAAAGGUCAAAAUGAUCGUUGAGAUUAAAUUAGAAGGGAAAUUACGAUUACGUGAUAUCACGGGCUCUUGAAAGAGAAAAAAAGAGAGAGAGAGAGAGAGAGAGAGAGAGAGAGAGAGAGAGA
Vespa velutina is the source of this 1712-nucleotide long non-coding RNA. RefSeq lists it as uncharacterized. The transcript has 2 exons. The record is from RefSeq and is a predicted model, not a curated record. NCBI's taxonomy places the organism in Eukaryota, Metazoa, Arthropoda, Insecta, Hymenoptera, Vespidae.